AUAAUCACAUUCAUGGUGCUGGUCUUGGGAGUCAGAGUUCAACAAAACUAUGGAUUUCACACAAAUCUGAUUGAUUGGCAGGUGAUGAUCAAUUUGAUCUACCGCAGUUAGAAUUCACAAGAAUACCCACAUGCACUGCAAAAUGAUGGAUUAUUUUUAGAAUGCAAUUGUAAUAGUCAAGUUCACACAAGCUUUGGGGUUUCCUGGUUAAGUGGAAAUUGAGAGGAAGCUUCUAUCGAAGAGCUGAACCAUACCUCUGGUCGAUCAUGACAUGUGAUCAAACCAAAAUGUGUGAUGUAUUUUGAGAACAACAUUGUUUUGUUCUUCACAAACACUCGGGCAUUGCAUCAUUCACUGAGUAAAGAGCGAGAUUAAACCGUAAAUAUUGUCCAGUAGUGCAUCAUGGGUACUAGAUGCAGAGAGCAUCCCAAGCAUUCCCUUAGUUUUAUUAUUUUUAUUCAUUUUUAUAACGAUGAUAAAAUUAUGACUUAGGAAUAAAAAUAAUAUAUUUGACGACACAAUGACCGUAUUACACAGUAAAACAAAAAUGGAGAAUGCAAAGAAUUUAAGGAUCGAAAACAUGCUGAACCAGGGUGAAAAAAUAUGAGGAACUGGUAAGUUACCCAAUCCAUGUAAAGCUUUAUAACUGUGAAUUAGGUAAGAAAUAUAAACAAAAUGGGAGGCAGUGGUAGUGUAGACAAAGGUAAUGUUUAAAGAGCAUCUUCAGGAGAAAAAUGAAGGUUAACAGACUGCAUCCUAAUGUUGCCUGGUAGCUUCAUGUUAGGUUCGGCAGUGGAAUGAAGGGAUGCAAGAGCAUGAACGAAGAAUUUCAAGUGUAUAUAUCCCAUAUAUGAGCUCAGAAACUGUAAAAUGAAUGUAGUACUGUAGCUGAAAACCUUCCGAUCACAGAUAGAGAGCACUUACAGAACUUUUCAAAAGGCAUAUGGAAUGCCUUACCCAUUCUUACUGUGCUUCGCCAGUUGAUAGUUUAAUUGUGAACCAGCCGGAGUCAAAAGGGUCUUUUUGUUGUAGUGAAUUGCAGAUCACGCUUAUUUAAAUUUAGACAAUGCUAAGCUCUCUCAAGCACAUUUAUCCGUAUGUAAUUAAUGUCCGUAUGCAACUACAGUACAGGAUCUACAGCCACAAAACUGUUCCAUUGAAAUCAAAAAGCAAGUUGACCAGCUAGCAAGAUAACCAUCAUUUUCUUUGUUUUUAGGCUUGUUAAUAAGUGAUUGGCUUGUAAGACAUUUAAAGGGACAGUCCAUAUUUCCACACUCCUUUCCAGUCCAGACAAUUCAUUGAUUUCUUAAACAUUAAAUGGACACCUACUGUCAUUCUAUGUGCGCUAGGUUAUGUUCCCUGCUCCUGCAUACAUUUCACUGUUAAUACAUACAAUAAUCCAAUAUUAAUGUCACUGCAUUGGUGAUAAUCGUAAUUUAAUAUGUGUUAGUUUUUUGCUCACGUUCUCAAUCAUCGGCACACAAUUUGAAGCAGUCGGCUGGAUGCCGUCAGAUCGUUUCACGGGUUUCUUUCUCUCAGAAAAACCAACAGUGUUUCGAUUUCUAGGAAGAACCGCAGGCUCUGUGAUGUCAGCUCGAGUGCACUCGCUCAGCCAUACGCACUUAAAUAGAACGCCUUGCCACAGAUAGCUUUCUGCAGCAUUCUUCUGCUCUUCAGGCAGCAGGAAGUAAAAGGUUGUAAAAGGUGACAAGAGCUCUGAAACUGAAUUGGGAGAGCAUUGUUUCGGUUUCACACUUUCUCAAUAAAUAAAUCCUAAAUCUCAGCUGGAAUUAUUGUUCCCAAUGUUCAGUCCAAAACUAGAACUUGAUAAAUAGCCCAAGAAGUUCAGUUGCAUCUGUUUUUGUGUUAUGUUCAACAAUUUCAUCUAUUCACAUCAGUAUGACAGUAUAAUUUUUUCUGGUGGUCAUUUGUGGAAAUAGGACCAUGUGCAGUAACACGUUGAAUCUUCUUUAUUCCAGCUUUGAAAUAAUGUAUUUCAGGAGGGUUAUGUCUCAUGUAAAUAUGAUAUGUGCAACUUCGUUCCUAUCUAAUGGCUAUAUGAAACAUAUGAAUACCAUGUUCUUCAAAUGAUAUAAUAGAAACAACUGAAAAAAGCAUGAGCACUUCUGAGUAAGAAAUGAGAUUUGCAGCACUGAUUGGGAAUAGACCGCAGCACUUCUCUAUUAUAAAACUGAACAGAGGCCUUCUGAAUAUUAAUGCUACCAGAUGAUGAACCAUAUUGAAGACAAGAGGGGUACAAGGCUGAUAAGAGGGGUACAAGACGAAUCUGUUAAUACACUACCUGUGGCAGUAGGUACUGAUCCAGGGAUGGUUCACUCUUUCCUGUACUCCAGUAAUGAUGAGGCAGUGCUCUAUCUCAUCUGAUCCUCUUUUUAAGCUUCCUCAUGCAUUUACAAAUAAUAGCCUACCUCACAAUUUAUUGGACUGGGAAGUUAAAUAAGCAGAGCGCUUUCUUGAAGUACACCAAAGUGUACUGCUCAGAAUCCAAAUUGUUACAAAUCAUACUGAGAAAUCUCUAUGGUGGGGCUCUGUUCGGUAAAGGAAAUCAGAGCAAUCUAGGGCCACGCCUCCUGGUUAAGUAGGCACACACCUGGGUUGUGUUAACCAAUCAGUCCAGGGCUUAAAAUCGCGCUUCUUUCUGACUGACACUGGGAACGACCGAUGCUGGGAGCCCCUGUACCGAGACUGAAACCGUACCAAGACCAAGACCAACACGGUGGGGUGCCACCUGCCCGGCGACAAUUUGGUACCAGAACGCAGGACAGCACAGUCACCCUGACGAUGGACUCAUCUCUGCCGCUGAAAAUUUCGCAAAUGCAACAGCUGCAACACUGAGCCCCCCCGCAGACUGCAGGAAACCGGUGCCAACAACGGGCGCUGGACGCCGUGCCAGCGUGGCAGGCUGCAGAUCGAGCCACCCUGAGGAAGCCCUGGCACACCCACUCUUCCCUCCCCCCGGAUCUAACUUACGCUUUCUAGGAACCAUACUUAAGAGACCUUCGAGAAAACGCAUAAUGCGGAAAGAAGCACUGCACAAGCAACACUGACAUAUGUGCAAGGCAUAUUUACAAAAAAAUAAAACUGUCUUAACAAGUGCAUUAAUAUAUAUAAAUAAAAACUUGAAUGUA
This is a long non-coding RNA of Anguilla rostrata (American eel), 3149 nucleotides long. RefSeq lists it as uncharacterized. The transcript has 2 exons. NCBI's taxonomy places the organism in Eukaryota, Metazoa, Chordata, Actinopteri, Anguilliformes, Anguillidae. The record is from RefSeq and is a predicted model, not a curated record.